RNAcentral lists this long non-coding RNA (226 nucleotides) under Elaeis guineensis (African oil palm). Its description in RNAcentral is "long non-coding RNA (EGUI_LNC076492)". Lineage: Eukaryota; Viridiplantae; Streptophyta; Magnoliopsida; Arecales; Arecaceae. The record is from RNAcentral.
CUCCCCUUUCUUUUCCGUGCCGGUGUGCACGCUCGUCGGCGACCGGAGUCGCCGGAUUUUAUUGCGGAAGAACCUCUGUUUUUGUCCAUUUUUCUUCGAUUUUUUCGAUGUCGGUGGUCACCGCCGACCAUCGGUUUGGCUUUCCUCCUGCCGACGGCCGCUUCCCGUCGGUUGCACUGCCGGUCGGCCAGCCAAUAGGGAAUUGUGAGAUCUCCUGUUUCGGCCC